GGUUCCUUAGCCAAGUGGUAAGGCAAUAGACUGCAACUCUGUGAUCGUCGGUUCAAAUCCGACAGGAACCUCCA
Molecule: transfer RNA, 74 nt
Filed under: Erysipelothrix sp.
Lineage: Bacteria; Bacillati; Bacillota; Erysipelotrichia; Erysipelotrichales; Erysipelotrichaceae
Also listed under: 1 other name
Description: tRNA-Cys
Rfam family: tRNA
About the family: Transfer RNA (tRNA) molecules are approximately 80 nucleotides in length. Their secondary structure includes four short double-helical elements and three loops (D, anti-codon, and T loops).
Source: RNAcentral